RNAcentral lists this ribosomal RNA (520 nucleotides) under uncultured Diversispora. RNAcentral's name for it is "SSU rRNA". It matches the Rfam family "Eukaryotic small subunit ribosomal RNA", at positions 569 to 1090 of the family's 1831-position model. The record is from RNAcentral. Lineage: Eukaryota; Fungi; Glomeromycota; Glomeromycetes; Diversisporales; Diversisporaceae.
AGCAGCCGCGGUAAUUCCAGCUCCAAUAGCGUAUAUUAAAGUUGUUGCAGUUAAAAAGCUCGUAGUUGAACUUCGGGGUUUACCCAUUGGUCAGGCUUAAUUGUCUGCACUGGUGAGAUGAAUCUCUACCUUCUGAGGAACCUUCAUGCCAUUUAUUUGGUGUGAUUGGAAAUCAGGACUGUUACUUUGAAAAAUUAGAGUGUUUAAAGCAGGCUAACGUCUGAAUACAUUAGCAUGGAAUAAUGAAAUAGGACGGACUGAUUCUAUUUCGUUGGUUUCUAGGAUCACCGUAAUGAUUAAUAGGGAUAGUUGGGGGUAUUAGUAUUCAAUUGUCAGAGGUGAAAUUCUUGGAUUUAUUGAAGACUAACUACUGCGAAAGCAUUUGCCAAGGAUGUUUUCAUUAAUCAAGAACGAAAGUUAGGGGAUCGAAGACGAUCAGAUACCGUCGUAGUCUUAACCAUAAACUAUGCCGACUAGGGAUCGGACGAAGUUAAUUUAUAAUGACGCGUUCGGCACCUUA